CCUGCCCUUGGGACCUGCAUAACCCCGGGAAACUGGGGAUAAUUCGGGAUAACGCAUAUGUGCUGGAAUGCUUUAUGCGUAAAAAGGAUUCGUCCGCCCAAGGAUGGGUCUGCGGCCUAUCAGGUAGUAGUGGGUGUAAUGUACCUACUAGCCGACAACGGGUACGGGUUGUGAGAGCAAGAGCCCGGAGAUGGAUUCUGAGACAUGAAUCCAGGCCCUACGGGGCGCAGCAGGCGCGAAAACUUUACAAUGCGGGAAACCGUGAUAGGGGGACACCGAGUGUCAGCAUCAUAUGCUGGCUGUCCAGGUGUGUAAAAUACACCUGUUAGCAAGGGCCGGGCAAGACCGGUGCCAGCCGCCGCGGUAACACCGGCGGCCCGAGUGGUGAUCGUGAUUAUUGGGUCUAAAGGGUCCGUAGCCGGUUUGGUCAGUCCUCCGGGAAAUCUGAUAGCUCAACUAUGAGGCUAUCGGGGGAUACUACCAGACUUGGAACCGGGAGAGGUAAGAGGUACUACAGGGGUAGGAGUGAAAUCUUGUAAUCCCUGUGGGACCACCUGUGGCGAAGGCGUCUUACCAGAACGGGUUCGACGGUUAGGGACGAAAGCUGGGGGCACGAACCGGAUUAGAUACCCGGGUAGUCCCAGCCGUAAACGAUGCUCGCUAGGUGUCAGGCAUGGCGCGACCGUGUCUGGUGCCGCAGGGAAGCCGUGAAGCGAGCCACCUGGGAAGUACGGCCGCAAGGCUGAAACU
Molecule: ribosomal RNA, 750 nt
Filed under: uncultured Methanosarcina sp.
Lineage: Archaea; Methanobacteriati; Methanobacteriota; Methanomicrobia; Methanosarcinales; Methanosarcinaceae
Description: bacterial SSU rRNA
Rfam family: Archaeal small subunit ribosomal RNA
Source: RNAcentral